RNAcentral lists this ribosomal RNA (264 nucleotides) under uncultured archaeon. Its description in RNAcentral is "partial 16S ribosomal RNA". It matches the Rfam family "Archaeal small subunit ribosomal RNA", at positions 715 to 982 of the family's 1478-position model. The record is from RNAcentral.
AGUCACUGACAUUAGAUACCCGCGUAGUCCUAGCCAUAAACGAUACUCGCUAGGUGUCGGCCACGGUGCGACCGUUGUCGGUGCCGUAGGGAAGCCGUGAAGCGAGCCACCUGGGAAGUACGGCCGCAAGGCUGAAACUUAAAGGAAUUGGCGGGGAGCACCACAACGGGUGGAGCUUGCGGUUUAAUUGGAUUCAACGCCGGAAAUCUUACCGGGACCGACAGCAACAUGAAGGCCAGGCUGAAGACUUUGCCGGAUUAGCUG